Oryzias latipes (Japanese medaka) is the source of this 114-nucleotide non-coding RNA. Lineage: Eukaryota; Metazoa; Chordata; Actinopteri; Beloniformes; Adrianichthyidae. The record is from Rfam.
CUUGGUUAUGGAGAUAUGUACCCAGAGACCUGGUCAGGCAUGGUAGUGGGCGCUUUAUGUGCUUUAGCUGGUGUGCUGACAAUAGCAAUGCCUGUGCCUGUGAUUGUCAAUAAC